This 74-nucleotide transfer RNA is filed under the name Spirochaetota bacterium. RNAcentral describes it as "Spirochaetes bacterium tRNA-Val". It matches the Rfam family "tRNA". From Rfam's summary of the family: Transfer RNA (tRNA) molecules are approximately 80 nucleotides in length. Their secondary structure includes four short double-helical elements and three loops (D, anti-codon, and T loops). Lineage: Bacteria; Pseudomonadati; Spirochaetota. RNAcentral also lists the same sequence under 1 other name. The record is from RNAcentral.
GGGCGGCUAGCUCAGCUGGUUAGAGCACUUGCUCGACAUGCAAGGGGUCGGCGGUUCAAAUCCGCCGUCGCCCA